AUCCAAGGGAACCAGAGGUUGUAUCAGUAUCCAAGGGAACCAGAGGUUGUAUCAGUAUCCAAGGGAACCAGAGGUUGCAUCAGUAUCCAAGGGAACCAGAGGUUGCAUCAGUAUCCAAGGGAACCAGAGGUUGCAUCAGUAUCCAAGGGAACCAGAGGUUGCAUCAGUAUCCAAGGGAACCAGAGGUUGCAUCAGUAUCCAAGGGAACCAGAGGUUGCAUCAGUAUCCAAGGGAACCAGAGGUUGUAUCAGUAUCCAAGGGAACCAGAGGUUGCAUCAGUAUCCAAGGGAACCAGAGGUUGUAUCAGUAUCCAAGGGAACCAGAGGUUGCAUCAGUA
This is a long non-coding RNA of Oncorhynchus keta (chum salmon), 337 nucleotides long. RefSeq lists it as uncharacterized. NCBI's taxonomy places the organism in Eukaryota, Metazoa, Chordata, Actinopteri, Salmoniformes, Salmonidae. The transcript is spliced from 3 exons. The record is from RefSeq and is a predicted model, not a curated record.